Molecule: ribosomal RNA, 367 nt
Filed under: uncultured bacterium
Lineage: Bacteria
Description: bacterial SSU rRNA
Rfam family: Bacterial small subunit ribosomal RNA
Source: RNAcentral
GAGUAACACGUGGGUAAUCUGCCCUUCCCAGGGGGAUAACCGGGGGAAACCCCGGCUAAUACCCCGUAAGCUCGCGGGAUCGCAUGGCCCCGCGAGGAAAGGUAGCUUCGGCCAUCCGGCGAAGGAUGAGCCCGCGGUACAUUAGCUUGUUGGUGGGGUAACGGCCCACCAAGGCGACGAUGUAUAGCUGGUCUGAGAGGAUGAUCAGCCACAUUGGGACUGAGACACGGCCCAGACUCCUACGGGAGGCAGCAGCCGGGAAUCUUGCGCAAUGGGCGAAAGCCUGACGCAGCAACGCCGCGUGAGCGAUGAAGGUCUUCGGAUCGUAAAGCUCUGUUGUUGGGGACGAAGGGCGAAGGGUUAAUAG